UACGGAGGGGGCAAGCGUUGUUCGGAAUUACUGGGCGUAAAGGGCGCGCAGGCGGCUGCUCAAGUCAGGCGUGAAAGGCCUGGGCUCAACCCGGGAACUGCCUUUGAUACUGGGUAUCUCGAGUCCGGAAGAGGUGAGUGGAAUUCCGAGUGUAGAGGUGAAAUUCGUAGAUAUUCGGAGGAACACCAGUGGCGAAGGCGGCUCGCUGGCCCGAUACUGACGCUGAGGCACGAAAGCGUGGGGAGCAAACACG
RNAcentral lists this ribosomal RNA (253 nucleotides) under uncultured bacterium. RNAcentral's name for it is "partial 16S ribosomal RNA". It matches the Rfam family "Bacterial small subunit ribosomal RNA", at positions 524 to 776 of the family's 1533-position model. The record is from RNAcentral.